GAUGAACGCUGGCGGCGUGCCUAAUACAUGCAAGUCGAGCGAACAGACGAGGAGCUUGCUCCUCUGACGUUAGCGGCGGACGGGUGAGUAACACGUGGAUAACCUACCUAUAAGACUGGGAUAACUUCGGGAAACCGGAGCUAAUACCGGAUAAUAUAUUGAACCGCAUGGUUCAAUAGUGAAAGACGGUUUUGCUGUCACUUAUAGGUGGAUCCGCGCCGCAUUAGCUAGUUGGUAAGGUAACGGCUUACCAAGGCAACGAUGCGUAGCCGACCUGAGAGGGUGAUCGGCCACACUGGAACUGAGACACGGUCCAGACUCCUACGGGAGGCAGCAGUAGGGAAUCUUCCGCAAUGGGCGAAAGCCUGACGGAGCAACGCCGCGUGAGUGAUGAAGGUCUUCGGAUCGUAAAACUCUGUUAUUAGGGAAGAACAAAUGUGUAAGUAACUAUGCACGUCUUGACGGUACCUAAUCAGAAAGCCACGGCUAACUACG
Molecule: ribosomal RNA, 495 nt
Filed under: uncultured bacterium
Lineage: Bacteria
Description: partial 16S ribosomal RNA
Rfam family: Bacterial small subunit ribosomal RNA
Source: RNAcentral